GACACCUUCAGGACAAAAUGGAGAGGAGUCGGAAGGGCAAGCGAACAUUCCUGUUAAAGCGGCACCGCGCUCCGCUUCUUGGGGCCGACAGGAGACAAGGCUAUUCUGUCUCUUCUUCUUCGGUGGGCUCUUUGUUUUCUCAAACGCCAAAUUCUUAGAAGACCCAGGCAUUCACCUAAGAACUACUGGACGCCCACCAGCAAGGCGCCAGGAGUCCUGCUGGGGGCGCUGGGCUUAGGGCGGGGAGGGGGAGCCCACUGGCUUCCCUACAUCCUCACCGUCAUGGGGCCUUUGUGGUGAGUGGAGAUCCUGCUACCUCAGCAGACAUCUUAUGAAUUCAUGUGCCUCAGAGACUCUCUGGACCCAAGUCAUUCUCAGUAUUCUAGCCUCAGGCUCCUGGUCUGCAAAAUGGGGAUGAUAGUAUGAGACGAGAUGUUCAUCAGGAUGGAAUGGGUCCAUAUCUGCAAAGCAUUCGGAACAUCCCUGGGACACAGCACAGGUUACUAUUAUCACAGAUAUACCAGAAUGCGACGUGUCUGGUUAUAUAAAAGAAACACUUCUCCCUGGAGGUGCCUUCAGUCUGACGCCCAGGUGCGUAGGGGGUGGGUGCCUGGGAAGGAAGCAGUUCAGGAGAAUGGCCUCGUGUCCACAGGUGGCCUCGCACACCCGCCCACCUGCCCGCCCAGCACCUCUGGUCCUGCUACAGCACCAGGACCAGUCCGGGCUUGCUGUGGCCCACUCCCAAAAUCAUGCCUAUCGCUCUGAAUCUGGACUGAAUGUCUGCAACCCCAUACGGCCCCAGCAAGUCUCUUCUUGACAGGCUGGAAUAGCCAGAACCCGGGGCGGGGGGGGGUGGUUGGAAAACACUUUCUGGACGUACAGAGCCAGUUCCACAAAUGUGCU
Molecule: long non-coding RNA, 903 nt
Organism: Lutra lutra (Eurasian river otter)
Lineage: Eukaryota; Metazoa; Chordata; Mammalia; Carnivora; Mustelidae
Exons: 3
Source: RefSeq, a predicted model, not a curated record